This 451-nucleotide ribosomal RNA is filed under the name uncultured bacterium. RNAcentral describes it as "bacterial SSU rRNA". It matches the Rfam family "Bacterial small subunit ribosomal RNA", at positions 29 to 524 of the family's 1533-position model. The record is from RNAcentral.
AACGAACGCUGGCGGCAGGCCUCAAACAUGCAAGUCUAGGGGGUGUAGCAAUACAUCACCGGCGGACGGGUGCGUAACGCGUGGGAAUAUACCUAUCGAUUCGGAACAACUGAGGGAAACUUCAGCUAAUACCGAAUACGUCCUAACGGAGAAAGAUUUAUCGUCGAUAGAUUAGCCCGCGUUCGAUUAGCUAGUUGGUGGGGUAACGGCCCACCAAGGCGACGAUCGAUAGCUGUUCUGAGAGGAAGAUCAGCCACACUGGGACUGAGACACGGCCCAGACUCCUACGGGAGGCAGCAGUUGGGAAUCUUGGACAAUGGGGGAAACCCUGAUCCAGCCAUGCCGCGUGAGUGAUGAAGGCCUUCGGGUUGUAAAACUCUUUCGCGCACGACGAUAAUGACGGUAGUGCGAGAAGAAGCUCCGGCUAACUUCGUGCCAGCAGCCGCGUAAU